UUAGAAAAUCUAAUAUAAAAAUAGAACAGUGUUUGGCUUGCUUGUUUGGGAUACCAUAGUAUUUUGUUGUUGCAAAAUCGUCAGGCAAAAUCCCAUUAUUGUUGUUUUUAUAAAAACAACGUUUACAAGAAACAAGGGAACUGAUGAGGAUUGGUGGCUCUUUCCGAAACCUAGGUAUUCCCUGCCUUACCCCCUGGUAAACAUUACCAUCGUUCUCCACUCAUAAACAAACGUUGUUUUUUUAAAAACAACAAUAAUGGGAUUUUGCCUGACGAUUUUGCAACAACAAA
Long non-coding RNA from Musca vetustissima, 290 nucleotides. RefSeq lists it as uncharacterized. The record is from RefSeq and is a predicted model, not a curated record. NCBI's taxonomy places the organism in Eukaryota, Metazoa, Arthropoda, Insecta, Diptera, Muscidae. The transcript is spliced from 2 exons.